This 253-nucleotide ribosomal RNA is filed under the name uncultured bacterium. RNAcentral describes it as "partial 16S ribosomal RNA". It matches the Rfam family "Bacterial small subunit ribosomal RNA", at positions 524 to 776 of the family's 1533-position model. The record is from RNAcentral.
UACAGAGACUGCAAGCGUUAUUCGGAUUCACUGGGCGUAAAGGGUGCGCAGGCGACCAUGUGUGUCAGGUGUGAAAGCCCGAGGCUCAACCUCGGAAUUGCGCCUGAAACUACAUGGCUAGAGUACUGGAGAGGGUAGCGGAAUUCAUGGUGUAGCAGUGAAAUGCGUAGAUAUCAUGAGGAACACCAGAGGCGAAGGCGGCUACCUGGACAGUUACUGACGCUCAGGCACGAAAGCGUGGGGAGCAAACGGG